AUGAACGCUGACAGAAUGCUUAACACAUGCAAGUCAACUUGAACUUCGGUUUGGGUGGCGGCCGGGUGAGUAACGCGUAAAGAACUUGCCUCACAGAUAGGGACAACAUUUGGAAACGAAUGCUAAUACCUGAUAUUAUGAUUAUAUGGCAUCGUAUAAUUAUGAAAGCUAUAUGCGCUGUGAGAGAGCUUUGCGUCCCAUUAGCUAGUUGGAGAGGUAACGGCUCACCAAGGCGAUGAUGGGUAGCCGGCCUGAGAGGGUGAUCGGCCACAAGGGGACUGAGACACGGCCCUUACUCCUACGGGAGGCAGCAGUGGGGAAUAUUGGACAAUGGACCAAGAGUCUGACCCAGCAAUUCUGUGUGCACGAUGAAGUUUUUCGGAAUGUAAAGUGCUUUCAGUUGGGAAGAAAAAAAUGACGGUACCAACAGAAGAAGUGACGGCUAAAUACGUG
Molecule: ribosomal RNA, 453 nt
Filed under: uncultured bacterium
Lineage: Bacteria
Description: partial 16S ribosomal RNA
Rfam family: Bacterial small subunit ribosomal RNA
Source: RNAcentral